Panthera uncia (snow leopard) is the source of this 2309-nucleotide long non-coding RNA. RefSeq lists it as uncharacterized. Lineage: Eukaryota; Metazoa; Chordata; Mammalia; Carnivora; Felidae. The record is from RefSeq and is a predicted model, not a curated record. The transcript is spliced from 2 exons.
UUUUGCUCUUACCUUUUCUCACCGAUAACAGCCAGCAGUAAUGAAUGUAGACUCUUGCACAUUCUCCUUCUCUCUGUCUAACCAGCCCAGACUGGCAGUUAUGUAAGCUUCCUUGUUCCGCUCUGCACAUUUAACAGUAGACAUUGUAGUCAUCCAGCAUUUUUCUGAAGACUGCAUAAACCAGGUUGGUUGUUUAACUCUGAGUGGUUAGCUCCUGUAUUUUGGACAAAACUAGGUCAUUCAGGAUGGUUCAUGGAAUCAAAGACAGACAGUUUGCUUUUAAUAAUAUUAUCUGGUAUUAACUUACCACAUCAGGUUUCCUCACUUCUGUCCCCAAUGAAUUAAGUUUUCAUUUUUUUUUUUUUUCUGAGCCAAGCAAUACAUUGAACUGAAAGCCUACAAGGAAAUAUUAAGAAGCAAAAUGGUCUGUUGUUGGGAUGAAUUUAUAUUAUGCAACAUAAAACACUCAAAUAUACCCAUAUAUAGUGAUAUAUCUGGUUAUUUCUCUUGGUUAUGGCAUUUCAGCAAUACUGUCUUAUUUUUAAAAUAAGGCCCAUUCGAUGAUAAAUUUACACCUAUCACCUUCAAUAUCUCUCUGCUAGUUUCCUUUUUGUUGCAUUUAAGACUAGUAAAAGUGUGGAGGCUUAGGGUAUUGAUGCUACGCAGCUGGUAAGUGUGUCCUGAUUAAAAGCCCAGGUUCAUUCCACUGCACUGGCAGAGAGGGGGCGGGGGGAAAGCAUUAUUUCUGAGGGUAAUUCACAUAUCCAAGCUAUGGAGGUUUUCUUGAACAGAUGGUUCUCUGCCAUGGAAGGUGACCAAGCUCUAAUUGAUCAUUCCAUUCCCCCCUCAUUUCAGCUUUCUCCCGAUAAUAUAGCUAAGUACCUAGAAUUACAGUUGCAAAGACUGGAAGGUCUUUUCUUUUGUUCUUAAACUUGCUAGUUGAGAAAGGUAUGGAUGUGUUGAGGCCCUGCUGUACAUGGUGUGUGGAUAUUAUCCUGCAAGAUGACCUUCGGAAUGAGGACAAGAACUGUGCAUCAUUCAGCCUACAAUUCUAAUAUUUUUUAUGUAUUCCACUUAAUCCUUGACAUUAGAAUUUAUUUUUAAUUCAGUAAGUACUUAUCAGGCUUUUGCUGUAGACCUGCUACUACUGAAAUUCUCUUUAAUUUUAGAUAUUUCACAUUUUAAUUUCAGAUGAAGGCCAUUCCUUGUGUCUAGAAAUUCAGUGUUAUACUCAUGUUGGUUUUAUUUUUUAAAUCUCUAAUAAUUCAGUUGCAAUCUGUAUCGUUACCUGAUAUCACUGUAUUCAGGAAAGUAUUUCUUUAGGGAAGGAAUUCUGUGACAUUAAGGAUUAUAACAAAGUUCAACUCUGUUUCUGAAAUCCUGGUAAGAUGUGUUUUCUGAUGACGUAUGUAUGCCUCGUGCAAGUGUUGUGAGACUCAUUAAUGGCUUGCCAAGUCUUUAGCAGCUGUCUCUUUUAACAGUUUUGUGACAUUUUUGAAAUAAUUUUAAUCUAAAAAUAAAUCUAGAUAACAUCCCUACAAAAAAAUUUCUUGCUCUCUGUUAAUACUCCUGGAUUCUGAUUUCCUUGCCCAAAGGAUCAUCAAAUUGCCCAUAUAUCCCAAAUAUGUCACCAAAUGAAAACGUCAUUGAAUAUAGUUUUAAAUAAUAUGUCUUAUUUUAGAUUGGUAGAAGGUCUGAGCAAUGGUUUUGCAGUUUAAAUACUUCUGUUAGAUUUACAUGGUUUAUUUUAGAGGAGAGAAUUAACUUGUUUUUGCCUGACGCCUAGGCAAUGCAGUACUCGCAGCUUCCCAGUUGCUUUGGACUUUGCCGAUCCUUGUCUGAUCUUGGCAUAACAACCAAGAAAGGAAGGAAAAAUAUUUUGCCAUAAAAUCUGGCUUCCUGCACUUCCUACAGUUAAUGGUACUUUGAAGGAUUCAAGCAACCUGCCCAGUCUUUGCAUGGAGGCCUCUUUAAUGUAUUUGAUAGCAAACAAACUGCCCUCUACUCUAGAGGGAGACACCGUCUUCACCUUCCACGUCUGUUCACUCUGCAGACGCCCAUGGAAAGAUAGUCCAGAGCAUGAGACCAUCACUGCCUCUGCUUUCAAGAUGUGCAAAAACUCGAGAGACUCAUGGGAAAUUGUGUCCCUGCAGUCUUCACUGAGUUACAUGUUUCUGUUGCCAAUUGGAAAAACCUGUCAUUGUGUCAUUAAGGUAGCUAGUCGCUGCUACUCUGGGUUUCGUGUGUCACUUGCUAAUGUGUUGGACUUAUGUAUCUUAGAAAAAGUAAGAAAGGAUUGAAUGGCCUCA